UACGAAGGGGGCUAGCGUUGUUCGGAUUUACUGGGCGUAAAGCGCGUGUAGGCGGGUCGUUAAGUUGGGGGUGAAAUCCCGAGGCUCAACCUCGGAACUGCCUUCAAGACUGGCGGCCUGGACUCAAGUAGAGGCAAGUGGAAUUGCGAGUGUAGAGGUGAAAUUCGUAGAUAUUCGCAGGAACACCAGUGGCGAAGGCGACUUGCUGGGCUUGUAGUGACGCUGAGACGCGAAAGCGUGGGGAGCAAACAGG
This 253-nucleotide ribosomal RNA is filed under the name uncultured bacterium. Its description in RNAcentral is "partial 16S ribosomal RNA". It matches the Rfam family "Bacterial small subunit ribosomal RNA", at positions 524 to 776 of the family's 1533-position model. The record is from RNAcentral.